Molecule: non-coding RNA, 107 nt
Organism: Capsicum annuum
Lineage: Eukaryota; Viridiplantae; Streptophyta; Magnoliopsida; Solanales; Solanaceae
Source: Rfam
UAAUGGUGAUGAGGACAAUUUAUGAGAAUGCCCUUGAAUCUUUCCCAAGCUUGGUAAAUAUUUUCUCAUUCUUUCUGCCUUAAGCUCAGAAUCUCACUUCUUAAACA